Molecule: ribosomal RNA, 398 nt
Filed under: uncultured bacterium
Lineage: Bacteria
Description: bacterial SSU rRNA
Rfam family: Bacterial small subunit ribosomal RNA
Source: RNAcentral
GGGGAAUAUUGCACAAUGGAGGGAACUCUGAUGCAGCGACGCCGCGUGAGCGAUGAAGGCUUUCGAGUCGUAAAGCUCUGUCGAAUGGGAAGAUAAUGACGGUACCAUUUGAGAAAGCCCCGGCUAACUACGUGCCAGCAGCCGCGGUAAUACGUAGGGGGCGAGCGUUGUCCGGAAUUAUUGGGCGUAAAGGGUUCGUAGGCGGCAAUGUAUGUCAGGUGUGAAAGACGGUGGCUCAACCAACGCAAGCAUCUGAAACUGCAUAGCUUGAGAAAAGGAGAGGUAAGUGGAAUUCCUAGUGUAGCGGUGAAUGCGUAGAUAUUAGGAGGAAUACCAGUGGCGAAGGCGACUUACUGGACUUUAACUGACGCUGAUGAACGAAAGCGUGGGGAGCAAAC